This 375-nucleotide ribosomal RNA is filed under the name uncultured organism. RNAcentral's name for it is "partial 16S ribosomal RNA". It matches the Rfam family "Bacterial small subunit ribosomal RNA", at positions 527 to 896 of the family's 1533-position model. The record is from RNAcentral.
GUAGGUGGCAAGCGUUGUCCGGAAUUAUUGGGCGUAAAGCGCGCGCAGGCGGUCCUUUAAGUCUGAUGUGAAAGCCCACGGCUCAACCGUGGAGGGUCAUUGGAAACUGGGGGACUUGAGUACAGAAGAGGAAAGCGGAAUUCCAAGUGUAGCGGUGGAAUGCGUAGAGAUUUGGAGGAACACCAGUGGCGAAGGCGGCUUUCUGGUCUGUAACUGACGCUGAGGCGCGAAAGCGUGGGGAGCAAACAGGAUUAGAUACCCUGGUAGUCCACGCCGUAAACGAUGAGUGCUAAGUGUUAAGGGGGUUUCCCGCCCCCCUUAGUGCUGCAGCUAACGCAUUAAGCACUCCGCCUGGGGAGUACGGCCGCAAGGCUG